RNAcentral lists this long non-coding RNA (857 nucleotides) under Pandoravirus dulcis. RNAcentral describes it as "putative ncRNA". The record is from RNAcentral.
GCGCCUCGGCGUCGGCCUUGGCCUUGGCCAUCUGCUGCAACUCGCGCCUCAGCGCCGCCAACUCGUCGUCGGCUCCCGCGGCCGUGGUCGCCGGGAUAGCCCUGGUGGCUUGGGUGGUGUCGGCAUCCUGUGCGGCAGAGGUGCGCUCCGGUUUGGCAUCGGCGCCCUUGUUCAGAGUGCUGUUGUCGUCGUCGGCGUCGUCAGCAUCAACGUCGUCGUCGUCGUCGGCAAUCCUUCGCUUGCGCUUGCGCGAAUCGCCCUGCGGCUCGGCGCCGGGCGUGUGCAGCGCCGGUGGCGACGGCGACAGCAGAUCGCUGGCCUUUGGAUCGACGAGGUCUGCCUCGGUGGAGGGGUUGGCGAUGGUGCUCAUGACGGCGGCAGUGGGAUGGAUCCGCGAAAGACGGCUUGGAACGGGGGACAGCACAAACAGGUGCCCAAGUGGUGCUGUUGUUGUUGUUGGUGUUGUGUGUCUGUGUCGAUGACGAGGGCAAAGGUGUGCACGAGACCGCGUCGGCUGGCAAGGAUCGAGUCGGGGGACCCGGUGCGUCCAUGGGUCCUUUUUGUGCGCGCGGGCGCACGCGCGGGCACACGCGCGCACGCGCGCACGCACGCACGCAGCCAUCGACGACCCUCUGGCGGACCAAUGGCGCGCGAGCGUACGGCGCGGCUCUCGUCCGCAGCGACGUCCAAACGGGACAAGAGAAAGGCCCGCCGCAGACGGUCGACAGCGUCUGCCUUUUUGGCCGUUGCCGCUCGUCGACAAUGGCCAAUGUCGGCGUUUUUGCUCGGAGGUUGCCUUUUUCCGUUAUUUAAAAAAACGGGUGCUUUUGAUUCGUCGCGAUAAAAUAGCACGGACA